AUUUUGGCUGUUUGGUCCAGACUGCUGUCUCAGACACUUUUCUCACCAGCUAUUCUGGUUCGGACCAAAGUUUGGCGGGAAUGAGCUCUAAAAGUACAGCACUGGAAAAUGCAGGGCAACAUGGUUAGCACAUCUGCCUCACAGUUCUGCGCAACGAGGUUCAAAUCCCAGCCUCGCCUGUGUGAGGUUUGCAUGUUCUCCCCGUGCCUGCGUGGGUUUUCUUGGGGCACUCAAGGUUUCCUGCCACAUCCCAAAACUAUGCACGGGAGGCGUCCAGGAGGCAUCCGAAUCAGAUGCCCCAGCCACCUCAUCUGGCUCCUCUCAAUAGGAAGAAGUAGCCGCUCGACUAUGAGCCCCUCCCGGAUGACCGAGCUUCUCACCCUAUCUCUAAAGGAGAGCCUGGACACCCUGCGGAGGAAACUCAUUUCGGCCGCUUGUAUCCGCAAUCUUUCAGUCUUUCAGUCCCAACCCACAGCUUGUGCCCAUAGGUGAGAGUAGGAAUGUAGAUUGACUGGUAAUUUGAGAGCUUCGCCUUUCGAGUUAGCUCCCUCUUUACCACAGCGGACCGAUCCAAAGUCUGCAUCACUGCAGACGCUGCACCGAUCCAUCUGUCGAUCUCCCACUCCAUUCUUCCUUCACUCGUGAACAAGACCCAAAGAUACUUAAAAUCCUCCACUUGGGGAAGGCUCUCAUCCCUCGACCUGGAGAGGGCACACCACCCUUUUCCGACUGAGGACCAUAGUCUCUGAUUUGGAGGUGCUGAUUCUCAUGCCACCUGCUUCACACUGAGAUCAUGGCUUGAUGAAGCCAACAGAACCGCAUCAUCUGCAAAGAGCAGAGAUGCGAUGCUGAGGCCACCAAACCGGACACCCGCUAGGCCUCAGCUGCGCCUAGAAAUUCUGUCCAUAAAAGUUAUGAACAAAAUCGGUGACAAAGGGCAGCCUUGGUGGAGUCCAACUCUCACUGGAAACGCCUCCGACUUAUUGCCGGCAAUACGGACCAAACUCUGACAGCGGUCAUACAGGGACCAAACAGCUGGUAUCAGGGGAUUCGGUAUUCCAUACUCCAGAAGAACCCCCCACAGGACUCCCAGAGGGACACGGUCGACUGCCUUCGCCAAGUCCACAAAACACAUGUACACUGGUUGGGCGAACUCCCAUGCACCCUCGAGGACCCUGCCUGCUCCACUGUUCCACGGCCAGGACGAAAACCACAUUGCUCCUCCUGAAUCUGAGACUCCACUUCCUGACGAACCCUCCUCUCCAGAAUCCUUGAGUAGACCUUACAAGGGAGGGUGAGGAGUGUGAUCCCUCUAUAGUUGGAAUACACCCUCCGGUCACACUUCUUGAAAAGGGGGACCACCACCCCAGUCUGCCAAUCCAGAGGCACUGUCCCCAGUGUCAACAGGAUGAUGCAGAGGCGUGUCAACCAGAACAGUCCCACAACAUCCAGAGCCUUUAGGAACUCCGGGCAAAUCUCAUCCACUCCCAGGGACCUGCCACCAAGGAGCUUUUUAACCACCUCAACCUCAGAGAUAGAAGAGCCCGCCUCAGAGCACCCAGACUCAGCUUCCUCGUGGGAAGGCGUGUUGGUGGAAAUGAGGAGGCCUUUGAAGUAUUCUCCCCACCGACUCACAACAUCCCGAGUUGAGGUCAGCAGCACCCCACAUGCCACGUCGGACUGGCAUCUUCCCCCACCAUCGGAGCCAACUCACCAGCAGGUGGUGAUCAGUUGACAGCUCCCCCCCUCUCUUCACCGGAGUGUCCAAGACAUACGGUCGCAAUUCCGAUGACACGACCACAAAGUCGAUCAUCGAACUGCGAUCACAAUCCGUGAUGAGCACAGAAGUCCAGUUACAGUACACCACUCGAGUUCGGAUAGGGGGGGCCAUUCUUCCCAAUCACGCUCUUCCAGUUCUCACUGUCAUUGCCCACGUGGGAAUUGAAGGCUAUCCUCUCAUCCACUGGGGUAAACCCCAACGCACAGGUCCCGAGCCGGGGGGCAAUAAGUAUACCCACACCUGCUCGGCGUCUCUCCCUGUGGGCAACUCCUGAGUGGAACAGAGUCUAACCCCUCUCAAGAGGAGUGGUGUCAGAGUCCAAGUGGUGCGUAGAGGCGAGUCCGACUAUAUCUAGUCGGAACCUCUCGACCUCACACACGAACUUGCGCUUCUUCCCUGCCAAAGAGGUGACAUUCCAUGUCGCCAGUUUCUGUAGCCGGGGAUCAGAUCGCCAAGGUCCCCCGGCUUUGGCCACCACCCAGCUCAUAUUGCACCCGACCCCAUGGCCGCUCUCACAGGCGGGGAGCCCAUGGGAAGGGGGACCCAUAUUACCCUUUCGGGCUGUGCCCGGCCAAGCCCCAUGGGUGCAGGCCCGGUCACCGGGCGCUCGCCUUCGAGCCCCAUCUUCAGGCCUGGCUCCAGAGGGGUCCCCGGUGACCCGCGUCCGGGCAAGGGAAACCAAGAUGCAAUUUUUGUAGUCAUCAUAGGGGGU
Syngnathoides biaculeatus (alligator pipefish) is the source of this 2492-nucleotide long non-coding RNA. RefSeq lists it as uncharacterized. NCBI's taxonomy places the organism in Eukaryota, Metazoa, Chordata, Actinopteri, Syngnathiformes, Syngnathidae. The transcript is spliced from 3 exons. The record is from RefSeq and is a predicted model, not a curated record.